Ursus americanus (American black bear) is the source of this 104-nucleotide small nuclear RNA. NCBI's taxonomy places the organism in Eukaryota, Metazoa, Chordata, Mammalia, Carnivora, Ursidae. The record is from Ensembl.
GUAGCUUUAGCAGCACAUAUACUAAAAUUGGAAAGAUACGGAGAAGAUGAGCAUGGCCCCUGCACAAGGAUGACACAUAAAUUUGUGAAGCAUUCCAUAUAUUU